This is a long non-coding RNA of Betta splendens (Siamese fighting fish), 5608 nucleotides long. RefSeq lists it as uncharacterized. The transcript has 5 exons. The record is from RefSeq and is a predicted model, not a curated record. Lineage: Eukaryota; Metazoa; Chordata; Actinopteri; Anabantiformes; Osphronemidae.
UGGGUGCAGAGGAAGGUAUCAACUAAUAAGGAAUUCAGGGGAAAACGCUGGACAGACAGAAGGCUGCUUAGUGAAAAGUUAAAGCGCAGGUGAAGGAUUCGGUUCCAGACAGAGCGGCAGCUGAGACAAGCACUGCGGAGGCAUGGCUCCAGGGAUUGAACUGGGACAGGGGACAGGAUCAUGACAACAAGUUAAAACCCACCGUGACGGACCUUUCAUACUGCCGCUCAGAGUCAGACGGAUGAUAGAUUGGGACGGCGCUAAGGUGGUGACUGCCAUCUGGGAGCGUGCGAUACAGAGAACCGGCCUGAGUCCAAACCCCAAACCCAGUUCAGACAAUACAAACUAAACCAGGGGGCUUGAUUUCAUGGUCUGACGUGUGCUGGAGACGCCUGUGACCUUUGAACCUGCUCGUCAAGCGCCUGUUGUUUCCAGGGAUGUCUACGGUGCCUUUUACCCGUGGCUUCGGGGCGAGAGGAGACCUCAGCGCCUCAGGCAACACAGUGUCAAACUGCUGCAGCUUCACGUCAGGCUCAGGUUCCUUUGUUUGAUCCCACACGACGUCAUCCUCGCGUUGCAGCACACAGGAUCUGGCUUCAGCAGCUAAAAGGGAGAGCGAAAUUUGCAUCUCAGCGUUUCCCACGAUGUCUGAUUCUUCUGGGCUCCGCUGUGAGGAAAAUACAUCUGGUUUUACACCGACGGCCAUGUCGACAGAGGCUGCUGCCAGAACAGGACAGAACAGAACAGAACAGAACAGAACAGAACAAGUAAUGUGUGGAGAACCUGUUUAGCUGCUGACGUACUGCUCAUACACACACACACACACACACACACACACACACGAGCCGGACCCGCUCACACACACACACACACACACACACACACACACACACACACACACACACACACACACACACACACACACACACACACACACACACACACACACGAGCCGGACCCGCUCACACACACACACACCCCGGACAAACAAACACACGUGGAUAUGCUGAUGCUCCCGCUGUCACGGCGGCGUCAGAACCGAGCCGUCCGUGAUGCAAAUGAGGAGCUGCUCCUGUGCAGCUUCUGCUUCGAGCGCAUGUUGGAGGAGCUAAAGUCAUUUGUGCAGACAAACAAAGACGUGCAAAGCAUGAACACGAGUGCAAUGUAACUGUUGAAACGUUGGCUCAAGAUAUUUUAAAAGCCACCGGCUGAAUUCUUUUAAGGAUCCGCUUCAAGGCUUCAAGAGGAAAUGAUGUUAAUGUGACGAUGCAGGAAAUAAAAAUCAUCAAGUCGGCGACUGGGUUCAACAGUCACAGUGUUUCUGCUGCUUGUUUAACGUUAUGAGUUGUUCCCAGAAACAGCGGACGCGGAAAUAAGCACCUGCUGCAGAGAGUCGAGGCCCGAGCACUUAGAGACACUUUGCACGUUUUGCGCGGCCGACCAAGCCGGCGCGAGGGCCUGAAGGUCGACAGCUCUGUGAUGCAUGACAGCGGCGCCGCUUACAGCAAGGUCAGCGUUUUCACUCGCCGCCGCUGCCGCUGGAUUUCCGCUCCGGAGACGCAUCAUCAGCAAAGUGAUGGCCCAGCAGCCUGUCGUCACUGUGUGUGUGUGUGUGUGUGUGUGUCUCUGAGUUCAACCACAGUGACUCUUGAAAACCCACUAAUCAGUAUUAUUACAUCAACACGAAACUGGGACCAGAAGCUCGAGCAGCAUUGAUUACGAUGAGAAAAGGUGUCAUCUCGUAUCCUACUACUCUGACAUCGACCUCUCGGCUUAAAACUGAGCUAAGUUGUGAAACGUGUGUUUCUGCAACGCAAACUAUUCCUUCAAAGGCGCGGGGAGCUUUUAUUCAUGGUGUUAUUUCUUCUGACAAGCCUUCAUUCCCGCUCUCAGGGAGAAACUACCAUUACAAUGGGAGACUCUGAAUCAAUAAGUGCACAAUGUUCAGCCCGGCUCGCGGAGUUAGAAAGUCAAAUACCUCCUCUCUUCAUGGGCAGCGAUUUAUCGACGGGCGACUUGUACCGAGUAAAGAAGCUCCUUUCAGGACGAUGUUUAGGAGUUUUGAAAUUGUCUUUGGCGCGUGUUUGUCUGCAGCGUGACUGUUUGGUGAAAGGCCUGGACGCUCCCUCGUGAUGCUGCUUCAGCGCUCACGGAUCUGCUCCUGCUGCACAUGUGUCUGAACCCGCUGUCAUAUGUCCAGUGCAGCAGUUAAUAAGGCCUGUCUGUAGGCCGCAUGCGCUGAAACGCGUUGUGUUGUGCCUCACGCAGCGUGGGACGAGGCAGCCUCGCUGCUCUAAUCGCAUCACUCACCGCUGCAUCUAAUAAAAACAGAGGCAGGAAAUGAAGACAAAUUGAUCCUGAACUUAUUCCACCUUGUAGGUUUGAAGUGAGGAGAGGCGGGUGCUCCUCGGUGUGUUUGUCGCCAGAGUCUCACAGCAUCAGCAUCAUCAGCAUCAUCUUCAUCAUCUUCAUCAUCAUCCCUGCGUCGUCCUGAGUCCAGGAUCACAGCACGGGACAAACGCAGGGGACCAGAAGCAGGUGCUGUGUGUCUGUGCAGCACCGGUGGGAACGACAUCCCGUAAAAUCACACUCAGGGGAGCGCUUAAAGGAAUAUUGUGGAGCAGGAGCCGGAGCCGAGCAGCAGAGCUGGAGGUCCGGCGGCGGCAGCACUUUGAGGAAAUGUCAACUUUUACAGAGGCCGAAAUCAAAACAGUAACGGAAGCGAAGCGAACUCAUUGCAGCGUCAGAGUUCAGAGCCUUCCUAAAUAAGAGUGUCAGCUCGGUUUAGUCGCUGGAAACACCACCGGGUGCUUUAAAAGCUAAAUGGAAACGUGUCAGCUUGUCUCUGGUUCAGGGAAAUACGGAAGAAUGCAACACGGAUGCAAGAAAAGCAUGAGAUCAGACCAGAACCUUGUUCAAGCACACAUUUAUGAGCAGACGUGACGUGUUGAAGGCAUCAGUCCCAGCGGGGCUUUAAAACCACACCACACACACGCACGCACACACGCGGCCGUGACCUCCACGCACGCCAGUGACCUCCGCGUUGCCGCGGUAACAGCUGAUGAUCAGAAAGCCUCUCGCACCCCCCUCACGCUUCGCCCAUUAGCGCAACCUAUAAAUCCACACUGUAUAAACAAGCAGUCAUAACAAAUGAUGCGAUCGGCCUCCGAGUAACAGCCUGCGACAAGGUGAACGCUAAGGCGUCUGAACUUAAAGUGGGAUUUUCUGUUGGAGGACACAAACGGACCCUUUGUCUCCUUCCCGAUCUGCUAAUAAAUUGGUUUUAGCCUGUUUUGGAGCAAAUUAUCCUUACCUCUCCUCCUAAUUUUCCAAUUUGCUGUGUCAUUUAUACCUAAUUGAGGACUGCACUGGGCUGUAUUACUCUCACAAAUAGGGUGAUAUAGUUUAUUGAAGGUCUGCUUUAUACAGAGGGGCUGGUAAACCAAACAUCAAUUGCAGCCUAUACAGAAGAUGGGGAUUUUUCCCGGAGGCUGGGGAGCAUUUCAAAGAGGCUUUAAUUAUUUCUCAAAGGCAAUCCCAGCCGUUGCUCCAACUUUCAUUUUAUGGUCACUUUCUUUCUUUUCCUUUGAUGGAGGUAAUGAAUGAUGAGAACUCAUUUUAUUUUAUCCCUGCUCCGUUGCCCUGCCUGUUAUUUGCGCCUAACGAGAUGCAAAGCGCUUGUUUUGAGUCCAGCCUCAGUGACGGGACGGGGGUCGGGUGAGCGCUUCCAGGCGAACGCAGCGUCUGAAGCCCGUGGCCGCCGCUCGCCGGCCUCCAGUCACACGCCCACGAAGCAUCAUGUGGGGCCAUCGCUGCCAUUCACCUCUUCCCCUUGUGCCACUUGGCGUUACCAUCAGCUCGCAUGCUCGUAGCGCUCCUCGGUUUGUGCUGACAAACCGACUUAGCGAAGGAUGAGUCUUGACCCCUGGCUGGCUCCGUAUGAAUGGAGUGCGAGACGGUGGCAGAUGGAGGUGUGGGCACGUGAAUAAAUCGAUUAGAGGAGCUCUUGACGGAUGGGAUUUAUAGGAGGCCUCGACGCAGCAGAGAAUUAAUUUCGCUGGGAGAACAUGCCUCUGCCAGGUUCAUUUGUCUUGGAAGGAAAUUUGGCUGUUUCCCCAGGUCUGGGGGCUCAAUUAACUUAGGCCCCAGCCGUCUGAGGGGAAAACAGGCUUUGGUGAGGAAUAUGCUGCACUGAUGUGAGCCGUGUUUGUGUUACAGAGGCAGCGGAAGGCGCGGGUGUGGAGCCCGUGGAAGGAACCGCGUGGCGUUCCAGCAGCGAACGCUUAGGGCCCGGCUCUGCUCCGGUCCUCCCUGCAUCCGUGUGGCUUCAGACGUCCGGUCUUCAGGGAAUUCCUCCGAAGCCGGCGAGUCACACAGCACGGAAUUGGUGCUAAUGCUGGUUUGAUACGUGUCGAAGCAUCUCUGCGCCGUCUCUCCCUCCCAUUAUCCCGGGUUCCAGUUCCGCAUCCUGAACAUCUCAGCAGAUGAUUUAUGUAGCGGCGCUGCUCUGUGACCUCAAAAUCCGCCCCAUCCAUACCGCACCUGUCACUGCGCCACUGCCUGCGUGCUUACUGAAAACUAAGCCAUCCGUGCAAAAUGGCAAUUUUCCACCCACCUAGAAAAAAAAAAAAAAAGAGGAGGUCCAAUUCUUUCUGAGGCAACACCAGGAAAAUUCUAUAAUAUGUAGAGCAGGUGCGCGAGGGCUCAGUUCUCCGCUAACGAGGGAGAUGAACUGCAUGCACUGUUGACCACAACAUCUGUCGUUUGUAACGAUGCAGAACUUGGUCUUUACCUCUGCAGCACAGUUCGCACAGCGCGAGACAGCAGAUGAUGAAGCGCUUAAGACGGCUACAGAUGGAAGGGAGCGGGCCGGCUGCAGCUGGGGGCACAGGGAUCCGAAGCUGGGUUUCCGUAGCAUAUGAUGCAUAAGAAUCCAACAGGAAUAGCAAAGAGUUAUGCUUGUCUGGAUGUGGCGAAGGCGAGACCCAGCCUGACCCAGUUCACCGUCCCAGGUGGAAGCGCUAACGAGCUCAUCAGCCCUAAAUAAGCCUAACAAGCUUCUAAUUGGCAGAGUUAUGAUGUCCCGAAGGUCAGAGAGCGCAGGUCCCCGUGCCAGGAGCAGGGAAACACAGCCACUUCCUGCCAACACAGAGUCAUGUGACCCGCCAACGUCCCUCUGUGUAAACAAAGUCGCUAAAGGACAACAGGAACUUCUUCCUAAGCAAAAAAGUUGGACAGAAAUAUGACUUCAGAGAGGGCAAAGGCAAAGCGGACUCCUCCAGCAGGACCUUAUUAAAACCUGUACAGCACAGAUCUUUUUAUUUUCUCCCACACUAUGUUAGAAAACUCAAAACAAGGGGCUUAAAUCUAUUUCGACUUAACAGGAAGAUCAGGAGAGACGCUGAUCACUAAACAGUCUGUGGGAAAAUGCUGCCACCUGCUGCUCAUUCGGCAAAGGUACACAGCCCAACGGUCCACUACAGCAAAUCAAAUGAGAGAAAAGAAAAAAAAAUCAGAAUAAAACAGAAAACAUUAUACACAUUUAGUGCUAUGGUAAAAGUGUAUUUGCUCAAAAGCAUAAAAAGCAUAAAAAAAAAAAAAAGACAAA